Molecule: long non-coding RNA, 2083 nt
Filed under: Eucalyptus grandis
Lineage: Eukaryota; Viridiplantae; Streptophyta; Magnoliopsida; Myrtales; Myrtaceae
Description: long non-coding RNA (EGRA_LNC001770)
Source: RNAcentral
CCUGUGUCAACAGGCAUACGAUGGGUCCACUCUCACUGUUCUCCAACGUACAGUGUAAUCAGUAGUACUAGUACUGACAUUUUGAAUUCUCCAGUGCACCCCACUUGUCAUCUAAUGUACAUAUAAAUAAAUAAGAAAUGAAGUUGCAUUGUUUACAGAAAAUCAUGUAUACCCCAUUAUUAAUUUAGUCCCUUACACUUCCGCAUGUUUAAGAAAAAACUAAAUGGAAAAGGUAACUGCAAUAGUAGUUUUACAUUAGUCGUGACAUACUGGGGCAUCACAACUCAAAUGAUAUGAGAGCCACCUAUGGGUUAUGAGCCCACCACAUUUUCGCCACGCUACUCUGGUCAUGCGAGAUUUAAUCUGGAUAAAAACAGUAUCUGGAAAAUCGAGGUCUACGAACUUGUCCUCUUCUCACGUGAAGUCUAUUGGCACCCCAUAACGGACCAUCGGGGAGGUAGGUGGGAUCAAAAUUCUAUUGAUCUAAAAAGAUGAAGUCAACAAUCAAUGAGUCACAACCUAACAAGCAGAAGGUCCACCAGUCUAUACUAUGCAAAUCGAUCACCAUACUAACAAAGAAAGGCUCAACAGAGAGUUCAUUAAAUCGCAUGCACAUCAAAUUUUUCAAAAUAUAUGAUAGACCCAUAGGGGUAAUAACUUUUUCCAACGGAUAGCUAGUAGUUCAAUUCAAAAAUACCAAAUUCAUAAUCAAUAUAAAUUCAUGAUGCCAUCAUCAUUCGAGGGAAUCCCAUUACCUCUUGGGCAUCUUGCACCGAUCCGGCAUCGCAAGGGCAUCUAGAAGAACCACAUUACACCCCGCGCAUUUGGGGGAACUCAGUUGCCCCUUUAGGCAUUUCUACCAUAACCUAGGGCAUCGUUGUCCCAAGGACUAACGGCAUUUUCAGUCACACAUUCACACCAUAACGUAGCAAUUAUGUAAUACAAUUGAAAGUACAUUAACGUUACUACUAUUCAAGAACUCAAGCAUACAUCUAAUGAAUCAUCAAUCGUUUUCAUCCCCAAGACUAAUAUAAACCCAUCCAUACAGAGUUAAGUGAACGGUAAAGAAGAUCCUACAUCCUAGGCCUAAACUAGCCUUAUAGGGCGUCCCGCGCGCCUUUAGAUACAAUGGUUAUUGUCUACGUAAAUUCUUUUGAAAAAUUAUGAAACUUUAAUAUGAGAUAGACAAGACCUUGAGGGACAUUUUUUGCAAGGACUCAAAGUUCAAUUCAGCUCAUACAGUUCUAAAUAAUUUUUGCAAUCCGAGCCCAAAACAGUCAAAAUUUCCUAACAAAAUUGAGUAGGAAAAUAAAUAUUUCGUCCACCAAAUGAUACCUAAAAAUUAUGAAAAUUUAAUAUGUAGUAGCCUAGGAUGUACUCUACAACUUUCAUGAAGGAAACAUGUUAGAAUCUGGACCUAAAAAUCUAUAGGAAAUAGAAAACGAGGAGAGGUCGGUGCAGUAAGUCCUAAAACAGAUUUUGAAUCCCAAAGUUUUCAAAUAUAUUUUUGCCGUAUGACAGUCCAAAAAUUAUGAAAUUAAAUUAUAUCGUAGAAUAGCCAAUAAGGGUUGACUUUUAUGAAGAAUGCACCAUUAAAUUUGCACCACAUGAGUCGGUACAAAAUUAGCAAAAUUCGCAGUCGGGCUAGAACCUGUGCCCUCAGUCGUCCCAGCACGGAUUUAAUUCAGAAUUUCGACUAGCUCAGCCCCUGCAUGUGCUAAAUAUCAACCGACCAUGCUCCUACGACCCAACCACAAGUUUGGCCAUUUUGAACUCGAUGAUGUAUCGAGGUAACGUGAUCGAAACUUCUGUCUAAACGAAAAUCUAAACGACGUUCAUGAAUUUUCUAGGAAACUAUUUACGUCGACAAACGAUCGAUAUAGGAUAGAACGGAUCUACUUACCUCGGAUCCUUGUGUAUGGCGGUCGUGACUCGGCAGGACAGAGGUGAGGCUGACGGCAGCGGCGUGCGUGGCUGCGAUGGCGAGGGACGGUUUUCGCUGCUUCUGCGGUUGUGUUGCCGAGUGAGGUAAGGGACGGCUGAGUUUUGAGGAUGAAAGUGGAAGUACGAGUGGUGUCUCUUU